RNAcentral lists this ribosomal RNA (209 nucleotides) under uncultured bacterium. RNAcentral describes it as "partial 16S ribosomal RNA". It matches the Rfam family "Bacterial small subunit ribosomal RNA", at positions 1294 to 1500 of the family's 1533-position model. The record is from RNAcentral.
CGGACUGUAGGCUGCAACUCGCCUACACGAAGCUGGAAUCGCUAGUAAUCGCGGAUCAGCACGCCGCGGUGAAUACGUUCCCGGGCCUUGUACACACCGCCCGUCACACCAUGAGAGUCUGUAACACCCAAAGCCGGUGGGAUAACCUUUAUAGGAGUCAGCCGUCUAAGGUAGGACAGAUGAUUAGGGCGAAGUCGUAACAAGGUAAC